RNAcentral lists this ribosomal RNA (419 nucleotides) under uncultured bacterium. Its description in RNAcentral is "partial 16S ribosomal RNA". It matches the Rfam family "Bacterial small subunit ribosomal RNA", at positions 362 to 773 of the family's 1533-position model. The record is from RNAcentral.
UCUUCCACAAUGGACGGAAGUCUGAUUGAUCAACGCCGCUUUAGCGAAGAUGUUUUUCGGUAUGUAAAGCUCUUUUGUAAGGGAAGAACAUGUACGGAAGUAACUGCCCGUACCUUCACUGAACCUUAUCAGAAAGCCACGUCUAACUCCCUGCCAGCAGCCCCGGCAAUACGUAUGUGCCAAGCGUUGUCCGGAAUUAUUGGGCGUACAGCGCGCGCAGGCGGUCCUUUAAGUCUGAUGUGAAAGCCCACGGCUCAACCGUGGAGGGUCAUUGGAAACUGGAGGACUUGAGUACAGAAGAGGAAAGCGGAAUUCCACGUGUAGCGGUGAAAUGCGUAGAGAUGUGGAGGAACACCAGUGGCGAAGGCGGCUUUCUGGUCUGUAACUGACGCUGAGGCGCGAAAGCGUGGGGAGCAAAC